AGAGCACAGGACUUGCUGUCCUGAGCCUUCCUGAGGCUUCUCUCUUGAAGGUGCCUUCCAGGCACGAAAGCAGGACUUGCUGACUCGGAGUUUUCUGAGGCAUCUCUCCUGCAAGUAGCUAUAGAUCCAGCCACUGACAUGGAGCAGAGAGCCCCAAGAGUGCCCAAGCUGGCCGGGGUGGAGGGAGAGGAAGAAGGCCCUGGAGCUGCCCCUGCACACGAGACUGUGACACGGCACCAGAGUGCGAGGCACAGCUCCGGGUGCUCCCCGUGAACCUCAGCUCUGGGACCACUGUCUGCCCCAAGCUUCAGGGGCUGCAGGGGGAGCCCGGCUGGGCUCUGCCCUGGGGCCAUCCUGCAGGGACAGCUGCACACAGGGAGCAUUCCCUGCCACAAAGAGCCAAGCCAGGGCUGCAGGGCAGCUGCUCCAGCCCCGACUGCACUGCUGAGUGCUGUGCUCUGGGGCUGGGGCUCCCCGCACAGGGGACUGCACUGCUGUGCCAGAGGAGACAGAGAAGCUGCAGCUUCAGCCUAACUGAGAUGUACACUCUGCAAACUUGAGCUGUGCUGCUGAAAUGCUCAAGCAAGUCUGUGCUGCAGGGCACCCCAUUUCUCCUUUGGCUGAUUGCGGCCCGGUGCUGAGCUCCAGCAGGGCCCUGGCAGAGCCCAGAGCAGCCUCAGCACCCGCAGAGCCCGGCUGCAAGGAGAGAAACCAGAAAGCCCCGUCAGCUGAAGGCUCCUGUCCCCUUGUCCCAGCCGCCCGCGGUGCCCCGCACUUCCUGAUCCAGACUGGACCCCACCUGGAACGCUUCCUCUACAAAAACUAACAACAAAUUAUUGAAAACAGAUUACAGACAAAUAGGGCAACAAGAAAAAAGGUAAAAAAUCUGAUCUCUGUCAGAGGCUUGAGGAAGGCCCAACCCCUGCAUGCCAGGGAAAAACCCACCAUGGGUGAGGGAAGCCCAGGCUUUCUCCCUUCCCCCUGCACUGCCCCCAUGGUGAUCCCAAAGCAAACAAGGGCAGUGGAGCAGCCCAAGCCCUUCCCUGCCUGCAAAGCAAAGCAGCCCCUGCACAGGCUCUGCAGUCCCACCUCUGCUCCCACCGUGGGGAUUUGUUUGUGUUGGGCUGGCUGCCCCAGCCCAGCCCCAGCCCGGGGCAUGGUGGGUGCUGGGGGCUGUUGGCAGGGCCAGGAGCCCACUCCCAUUUUGUAUCCACCCCAGCCCAUGCCCCCAGCCCUGCCAAAAGCAGCCUGGCAGCCGACUGAAGGAUCAGCUGCAUCUGCCCCAGCAAAGGGGGAACCUUUGGUUCCCAGCCAGGCUGAGCAAUGCCCAAAUCUGGGAGCAUCCCCUGUGUGUGGACUCAUCUGCAAAUUCCCUGUGAAGCCUGGAUUUGGAGAAGGUGCCAGAAUCAAACUCCAUCAUCUUCAGCCUGCCGGAGACCAGGAGGAGCAAGAGGUUGUCAUCCUUGAUGUCGUCCUCGCUGCCCCCUGCAGCAGCAGCCCCACCUGGUACAGCUUCUCCAAGGACUCCUUCUCCUUCCCUGGGGGUCAGACCAGGCUGUCAGGGCUCUGCCCAGGGCCCCAGCUGUCAGGGAACCAGGACAAGCAAAACCAGCUCGGAUGGCAGCCACCAGUGCUGGGCAGAGCAGCUCAGCUCCAGCACAAGGGCUGCGUGUGCCCUCCCAUGACCCCUGUGCAGUGACACAGGCAGGACCAAAUGUCUGGGUUCCUUUGCUUCUCAUUGCCAAGGCAUGUGUGGAGCUGGAACUUACCAGGGCCCUGCAUCCACGUGUGCCUGUGGCUCUCUCCCUUCUUCUAGGGCAGAUGAAUAUUCUGCAUCCAGGGAUCACAGAGCAGCUCUUCUAAGGAGGGCCUGUCCAAGUGCAGCAUGGAUAAACACCGCCUGAUCAGAUCUUGGCACUCUGGGCAGAGAAACCAGAAACCACCGGUCAGUUGGAGAAGGCUCCUGUUGGCUUUGCCCCGCUAUUCCCAUGUCCAGGCCAUGCUGGAUGUGCUCAGAGCUGUGCCUAAACUUUCCAUCAGUUCCCUAUUUUGGAGGAGAGCAGGAGAGCAGGACAUGUGGCACCUCCUCAGCGGCUGCCAGAGCGAGAUGCUCACGAGCUGCUGCUGUCUCCCGGCACUGGUAUUCCCCCGUGGCCAGAGAUGAGGAUCCACCUGGAGAGAGCCGCUGUGGCAGCAAGAGCUGAUGGUCUCAGCUGAUCUUCCGGCCCCUCCUGAAAGGGUGCUGCCCGCAGACCAUCUGGUGCAGCAGGAUGCCCAGGGACCAGAUGGUAGCUGGCUUGCCAUAGUACCAGCCCAAGUGGGUCCAUUCCAGGAGCUGUAUGACCAUGUUCCUAUGGAAUACAGGUGGGGUUCAUCAGGGGGAUGCUGCUGCUCCCAGAGCCUGGCCCCAGCAUCCCUGGGCGUGCAGGGGCUGCCCCAGUGGCACACGGGGCGACUGCUGCACUCUCGCCAGCACCUGGGACAUGUGUACAGACUCAGGGCUGGAAAAGAAGCCACUGGUGUUGGAAGAGGGCAGCAGAAACCCUGGCAAGGCCUGACCAUGAUGUGCAAAGGGAAAACCCACCCAGUCCUGGGGAAAAACCAUGCUCUCAUUCUCCCUGCCAGCAUUGCCCCAAGAAGCAUUAUGAAGCCAAGGUGUAAGACACUGUCUGAAGACCCUCACUCAUUUGCCUGCCAAUGGCCAUGAGAGGGAACCCCCCCCCCCACUGUAGUUCCAGCUUGGAGGAGGCAACAGUGCAGGUGCAGCCGCUGCACAUCGCGGCAGCUGUUCCCAACGAGGCCUGGCAAGGACUUGGCAAGGACUUGGCUGGGACUUGGUGACGACCCAGCAUGGACCCAGCACAGAGCGGCCUGCUGCAAUUCCUGCUUCACUCUCCACUUUCAAGCUGAAUGAACUGUUGGGCUGACCCUGGUGGUCUCUCACUGCAGACCCCUCAUCUGCCUCAUUACCACCGUGACAGAGAUUGAGAACCCUCUCCCCAAGGACUGAGGCUGAGACCCCGACCACAGGGAGUGGGGGGGAGAAUGACAUGAUCUGUUCUGCUCCAGUAACUUCAAUGGACUUAUUCUUCAUUGUGUUCAUCCUGCCCAGAUGGUUUUCAGUAGAUUCACCUGUUCCCCCCACAGCAAUUUCAACAGACUCUCAUUGUUCUGCAUGUUCCCCCCUUUUCCCUCUGUGGACUAUAACUGGACCCCUGGGCUGGGCAGGACUUUGGAGACUCUCCCCAGCACCUGCGGAGCAGCCCCCGCGCCUCCUCCUCGGACAGGAACCCCCUUGCCCGAAUAAAAUGGUGCAGGUCCUGAGACCACUCUGGGCACUCCAGCACCAUCAAGAUGUUACUGUGGAGCUCCCGUCUCUCCAGCAUCUGGACAACACCAGGGAAGUGUCCCUCUGUGUUUGGGGCAGCUCCUUCUCCAAGGAAAGCAGGUGGGAGAUGGAGCCAAGGAGCUGAAACCCGCAGGUGCAGCCUGGGCUGGAGGGAGCUCAGAUUUGCACAAGGCUGCUCUGAGUGCCAGGGCUUGGAUGGGGGAAAUGGUGGGGUGGGGGUAGGGACAGAGUCUGAUGGAUUGUCAGCCACAAAGGGUCUUGAUUUUCAUAUCUAUUCCAACUGCAUGAGGAAGCACUUGGAUUCAGUGUCAAUUGGAGAUUUCACACAUCAGUUUAUUAGGAGUAAAAAAAACUAAACAGGACCUGAAGAAAUCUUUUCUCACUGUCCUUUUAAAU
Molecule: long non-coding RNA, 3745 nt
Filed under: Taeniopygia guttata (zebra finch)
Lineage: Eukaryota; Metazoa; Chordata; Aves; Passeriformes; Estrildidae
Description: lncRNA (ENSTGUG00000022973.1)
Source: RNAcentral